Molecule: long non-coding RNA, 2002 nt
Filed under: Triticum aestivum (bread wheat)
Lineage: Eukaryota; Viridiplantae; Streptophyta; Magnoliopsida; Poales; Poaceae
Description: long non-coding RNA (TAES_LNC005348)
Source: RNAcentral
UCCAUUAACUACCAAGCAACGGAGUUGCUAGGAGUAUUGAUUUCACACAUCACGGUUCACUUGUCGGCAUUCCGGUCACAACAACACAGAGACCGAGUGUAACGCCCUCGAUGCGGCUAUAUCUCCCACGUGUCGAAGAAUGACUUAGAAGCAUAACUGCAUUGAAAGCAAUGUCGCAAGUGAGGUAAUCUUCACACAACCCAUGUAAUACAUAAGGGACAGAGAUACAUAGUUGGCUUACAAUCGCCACUUCACACAAUUACAUGAAUAAAGCAUUACAUCAAUCAGAUACAAUCAAGGUCCGACUACGGAACCAAAAUAAAACAAGACUACCCCAAAAGCUACACAGAUCCCCGAUCAUCCCGACUGGGCUCCACUACUGAUCAACUAGAACGAAACAACACAAAGGACAAGAUCUUCAUCGAGCUCCUCCUUGAGCUUGGUUGCGUCACCUGCUCGGUAACAUCAGCACCUGCAAACUGGUUUUGGAAGUAACUGUGAGUCACGGGGACUCAGCAAUCUCACACCCUCGUGAUCAGGACUAUUUAAGCUUAUGGGUAAGGUAAAAGGUAUGAGGUGGAGCUGCAGCAAGCGACUAGCAUAUAUGGUGGCUAAACAUACGCAAAUGAGAGCGAAAAGAGAAGGCAAGGCACGGUCGAUAAAACUAUGAUCAAGAAGUGAUCCUAGAACAACCUACAUCAAGCAUCACUCCAACACCGUGUUCACUUCCCGGGCUCCGCCGAGAAGAGACCAUCACGGUUACACACGCGGUUGAUGUGUUUUAAUUAAGGUCAACUACAGGUUUUCUACAACCGGACGUUAACAAAUUCCGAUAUGCCCAUAACCACGGGCACGGCUUUCAAAAGUUCAAAUCCCUGCAGGGGUCUCCCAACUUAGCCCAUCACAAGCUCUCACGGUCAACAAAGAAUAUUCCUUCUAGCGGGAAGACCCGAUCAGACUCGGAAUCCUGGUUACAAGACAUUUCGACAGUGGUAAAACAAGACCAGCAAAGCCACCCGAAUGUGCCGACAAAUCCCGAUAGGAGCUGCACAUAUCUCGUUCUCAGGGCACACCGGAUUGUCCAAACUUCCGGUAGGCCAGCCCAGAGUUGCCCCUGGUGGCCACCGGUGGCUGACAAGUUGGACCAACACUCAGAGGAGCACUGGCCCGGGGGGAUUAAAAUAAUGAUGACCCUUGGGCAGGCCUAUCCAAGGGAAAGGAAAAGGCCAGGUGGCGAAUGGUGAAACCAAUGUUGGGCCUUGCUGGAAGAGUUUUAUUCAAUGCGAACUGUCAAGGGGUUCCCAUUAUAACCCAACCGCAUAAGGAACGCAAAAUCCGAGAACAUAACACCGAUAUGACGGAAACUAGGGCGGCAAGAGUGGAACAAAACACCAGGCAUAAGGCCGAGCCUUCCACCCUUUAGAAGUAUAUAGAUGCAUUAAUUAAAUAAGAGAUAUUGUGAUAUCCCAACAAAACAUCCAUGUUCCAACAUGGAACAAACUCCAAUCUUCACCUGCAACUAACAACGCUAUAAGAGGGGCUGAGCAAAGCGGUACCAUAGCCAAACAACGGUUUGGUAGGACAAGGUGGGUUAGAGGCUUGGUUCAAUAAUAUGGGAGGCAUGAUAAGCAAGUGGUACGUAUCGCAGCAUAGGCCUAGCAAAAGAGAGAGCAACUACCAAGCAAAGAUAGAAGUGAUUUCGAGGGUAUGGUCAUCUUGCCUGAAAUCCCGCAAGGAAGAAGAACGAGUCCAUGAAGAAGACAAACGGACGUAGUCGAACGGGUCCUCACAAGCGCGACGUUAUCGGAAACAACCCGAAGAAGCAACACCGGAAAGAAGCAAACAACAUAGUAAACAACCAACACAUAAUCAUGGCAUGAUGCACAAUCAAGUAUGAUGCAUGUCCGGUUUAAUGAAGCAUGGCAUGGCAAAGUGCACAAGCAACUCUACAAAUUAAGUGGAGCACAAUAUGCAACGGAGUUGCAUAUUGAAGAAAACACCA